RNAcentral lists this ribosomal RNA (459 nucleotides) under Salmonella enterica. Its description in RNAcentral is "bacterial SSU rRNA". It matches the Rfam family "Bacterial small subunit ribosomal RNA", at positions 1 to 456 of the family's 1533-position model. Lineage: Bacteria; Pseudomonadati; Pseudomonadota; Gammaproteobacteria; Enterobacterales; Enterobacteriaceae. The record is from RNAcentral.
AAAUUGAAGAGUUUGAUCAUGGCUCAGAUUGAACGCUGGCGGCAGGCCUAACACAUGCAAGUCGAACGGUAACAGAAAGCAGCUUGCUGCUUUGCUGACGAGUGGCGGACGGGUGAGUAAUGUCUGGGAAACUGCCUGAUGGAGGGGGAUAACUACUGGAAACGGUGGCUAAUACCGCAUAACGUCGCAAGACCAAAGAGGGGGACCUUCGGGCCUCUUGCCAUCAGAUGUGCCCAGAUGGGAUUAGCUUGUUGGUGAGGUAACGGCUCACCAAGGCGACGAUCCCUAGCUGGUCUGAGAGGAUGACCAGCCACACUGGAACUGAGACACGGUCCAGACUCCUACGGGAGGCAGCAGUGGGGAAUAUUGCACAAUGGGCGCAAGCCUGAUGCAGCCAUGCCGCGUGUAUGAAGAAGGCCUUCGGGUUGUAAAGUACUUUCAGCGGGGAGGAAGGUGUUG